RNAcentral lists this ribosomal RNA (2906 nucleotides) under Escherichia coli. Its description in RNAcentral is "23S ribosomal RNA". It matches the Rfam family "Bacterial large subunit ribosomal RNA". Lineage: Bacteria; Pseudomonadati; Pseudomonadota; Gammaproteobacteria; Enterobacterales; Enterobacteriaceae. The record is from RNAcentral.
GGUUAAGCGACUAAGCGUACACGGUGGAUGCCCUGGCAGUCAGAGGCGAUGAAGGACGUGCUAAUCUGCGAUAAGCGUCGGUAAGGUGAUAUGAACCGUUAUAACCGGCGAUUUCCGAAUGGGGAAACCCAGUGUGUUUCGACACACUAUCAUUAACUGAAUCCAUAGGUUAAUGAGGCGAACCGGGGGAACUGAAACAUCUAAGUACCCCGAGGAAAAGAAAUCAACCGAGAUUCCCCCAGUAGCGGCGAGCGAACGGGGAGCAGCCCAGAGCCUGAAUCAGUGUGUGUGUUAGUGGAAGCGUCUGGAAAGGCGCGCGAUACAGGGUGACAGCCCCGUACACAAAAAUGCACAUGCUGUGAGCUCGAUGAGUAGGGCGGGACACGUGGUAUCCUGUCUGAAUAUGGGGGGACCAUCCUCCAAGGCUAAAUACUCCUGACUGACCGAUAGUGAACCAGUACCGUGAGGGAAAGGCGAAAAGAACCCCGGCGAGGGGAGUGAAAAAGAACCUGAAACCGUGUACGUACAAGCAGUGGGAGCACGCUUCGGCGUGUGACUGCGUACCUUUUGUAUAAUGGGUCAGCGACUUAUAUUCUGUAGCAAGGUUAACCGAAUAGGGGAGCCGAAGGGAAACCGAGUCUUAACUGGGCGUUAAGUUGCAGGGUAUAGACCCGAAACCCGGUGAUCUAGCCAUGGGCAGGUUGAAGGUUGGGUAACACUAACUGGAGGACCGAACCGACUAAUGUUGAAAAAUUAGCGGAUGACUUGUGGCUGGGGGUGAAAGGCCAAUCAAACCGGGAGAUAGCUGGUUCUCCCCGAAAGCUAUUUAGGUAGCGCCUCGUGAAUUCAUCUCCGGGGGUAGAGCACUGUUUCGGCAAGGGGGUCAUCCCGACUUACCAACCCGAUGCAAACUGCGAAUACCGGAGAAUGUUAUCACGGGAGACACACGGCGGGUGCUAACGUCCGUCGUGAAGAGGGAAACAACCCAGACCGCCAGCUAAGGUCCCAAAGUCAUGGUUAAGUGGGAAACGAUGUGGGAAGGCCCAGACAGCCAGGAUGUUGGCUUAGAAGCAGCCAUCAUUUAAAGAAAGCGUAAUAGCUCACUGGUCGAGUCGGCCUGCGCGGAAGAUGUAACGGGGCUAAACCAUGCACCGAAGCUGCGGCAGCGACGCUUAUGCGUUGUUGGGUAGGGGAGCGUUCUGUAAGCCUGCGAAGGUGUGCUGUGAGGCAUGCUGGAGGUAUCAGAAGUGCGAAUGCUGACAUAAGUAACGAUAAAGCGGGUGAAAAGCCCGCUCGCCGGAAGACCAAGGGUUCCUGUCCAACGUUAAUCGGGGCAGGGUGAGUCGACCCCUAAGGCGAGGCCGAAAGGCGUAGUCGAUGGGAAACAGGUUAAUAUUCCUGUACUUGGUGUUACUGCGAAGGGGGGACGGAGAAGGCUAUGUUGGCCGGGCGACGGUUGUCCCGGUUUAAGCGUGUAGGCUGGUUUUCCAGGCAAAUCCGGAAAAUCAAGGCUGAGGCGUGAUGACGAGGCACUACGGUGCUGAAGCAACAAAUGCCCUGCUUCCAGGAAAAGCCUCUAAGCAUCAGGUAACAUCAAAUCGUACCCCAAACCGACACAGGUGGUCAGGUAGAGAAUACCAAGGCGCUUGAGAGAACUCGGGUGAAGGAACUAGGCAAAAUGGUGCCGUAACUUCGGGAGAAGGCACGCUGAUAUGUAGGUGAAGCGACUUGCUCGUGGAGCUGAAAUCAGUCGAAGAUACCAGCUGGCUGCAACUGUUUAUUAAAAACACAGCACUGUGCAAACACGAAAGUGGACGUAUACGGUGUGACGCCUGCCCGGUGCCGGAAGGUUAAUUGAUGGGGUUAGCGGUAACGCGAAGCUCUUGAUCGAAGCCCCGGUAAACGGCGGCCGUAACUAUAACGGUCCUAAGGUAGCGAAAUUCCUUGUCGGGUAAGUUCCGACCUGCACGAAUGGCGUAAUGAUGGCCAGGCUGUCUCCACCCGAGACUCAGUGAAAUUGAACUCGCUGUGAAGAUGCAGUGUACCCGCGGCAAGACGGAAAGACCCCGUGAACCUUUACUAUAGCUUGACACUGAACAUUGAGCCUUGAUGUGUAGGAUAGGUGGGAGGCUUUGAAGUGUGGACGCCAGUCUGCAUGGAGCCGACCUUGAAAUACCACCCUUUAAUGUUUGAUGUUCUAACGUUGACCCGUAAUCCGGGUUGCGGACAGUGUCUGGUGGGUAGUUUGACUGGGGCGGUCUCCUCCUAAAGAGUAACGGAGGAGCACGAAGGUUGGCUAAUCCUGGUCGGACAUCAGGAGGUUAGUGCAAUGGCAUAAGCCAGCUUGACUGCGAGCGUGACGGCGCGAGCAGGUGCGAAAGCAGGUCAUAGUGAUCCGGUGGUUCUGAAUGGAAGGGCCAUCGCUCAACGGAUAAAAGGUACUCCGGGGAUAACAGGCUGAUACCGCCCAAGAGUUCAUAUCGACGGCGGUGUUUGGCACCUCGAUGUCGGCUCAUCACAUCCUGGGGCUGAAGUAGGUCCCAAGGGUAUGGCUGUUCGCCAUUUAAAGUGGUACGCGAGCUGGGUUUAGAACGUCGUGAGACAGUUCGGUCCCUAUCUGCCGUGGGCGCUGGAGAACUGAGGGGGGCUGCUCCUAGUACGAGAGGACCGGAGUGGACGCAUCACUGGUGUUCGGGUUGUCAUGCCAAUGGCACUGCCCGGUAGCUAAAUGCGGAAGAGAUAAGUGCUGAAAGCAUCUAAGCACGAAACUUGCCCCGAGAUGAGUUCUCCCUGACUCCUUGAGAGUCCUGAAGGAACGUUGAAGACGACGACGUUGAUAGGCCGGGUGUGUAAGCGCAGCGAUGCGUUGAGCUAACCGGUACUAAUGAACCGUGAGGCUUAACCUU